CAAAGGGGAUACCUUAGUAACGGCGAGUGAAGCGGUAAAAGCUCAAAUUUGAAAUCUGGUACUUUCAGUGCCCGAGUUGUAAUUUGUAGAAUUUGUCUUUGAUUAGGUCCUUGUCUAUGUUCCUUGGAACAGGACGUCAUAGAGGGUGAGAAUCCCGUUUGGCGAGGAUACCUUUUCUCUGUAAGACUUUUUCGAAGAGUCGAGUUGUUUGGGAAUGCAGCUCAAAGUGGGUGGUAAAUUCCAUCUAAAGCUAAAUAUUGGCGAGAGACCGAUAGCGAACAAGUACAGUGAUGGAAAGAUGAAAAGAACUUUGAAAAGAGAGUGAAAAAGUACGUGAAAUUGUUGAAAGGGAAGGGCAUUUGAUCAGACAUGGUGUUUUUUUAAUGUGCAAGUCUCUCGUGGACAUGUGCCUCUGGAAAUUAACACUGGGCCAACAUCAGUUCUGGCGGCAGGAUAAAUCAUUAAGAAUGUAGCUACCUCGGUAGUGUUAUAGCUUUUUGGAAUACUGCCAGCUGGGAUUGAGGACUGCGCUUCGGCAAGGAUGUUGGCAUAAUGGUUAAAUGCCGCCCGUCUUGAACAACGGACCAAAA
RNAcentral lists this ribosomal RNA (590 nucleotides) under Hanseniaspora thailandica (nom. inval.). RNAcentral's name for it is "Hanseniaspora thailandica partial large subunit ribosomal RNA". It matches the Rfam family "Eukaryotic large subunit ribosomal RNA", at positions 66 to 671 of the family's 3401-position model. The record is from RNAcentral. Lineage: Eukaryota; Fungi; Ascomycota; Saccharomycetes; Saccharomycodales; Saccharomycodaceae.